UGCACUCGAAAGCUGGCCUUCUCGUGGCGAGUGUGUUAAGUAGUAGGUCUAAAAAAUCUUCCAGUUUUACCUACGAAAACUAACAGCUA
This 89-nucleotide non-coding RNA is filed under the name unclassified sequences. The record is from RNAcentral.